RNAcentral lists this ribosomal RNA (253 nucleotides) under uncultured bacterium. RNAcentral's name for it is "partial 16S ribosomal RNA". It matches the Rfam family "Bacterial small subunit ribosomal RNA", at positions 524 to 776 of the family's 1533-position model. The record is from RNAcentral.
GACGAACCGUGCGAACGUUGUUCGGAUUCACUGGGCUUAAAGGGCGCGUAGGCGGGCGAUCAAGUCGGGGGUGAAAUCUUUCAGCUUAACUGGAAAAUAGCCUUCGAUACUGGUGGUCUGGAGGAAGGUAGGGGCAUGUGGAACUUCCGGUGGAGCGGUGAAAUGCGUAGAUAUCGGAAGGAACGCCGGUGGCGAAAGCGACGUGCUGGACCUUUUCUGACGCUGAGGCGCGAAAGCCAGGGGAGCAAACGGG